AUUGAACGCUGGCGGCAGGCCUAACACAUGCAAGUCGAGCGGUAGCACAGAGAGCUUGCUCUCGGGUGACGAGCGGCGGACGGGUGAGUAAUGUCUGGGAAACUGCCUGAUGGAGGGGGAUAACUACUGGAAACGGUAGCUAAUACCGCAUAACGUCGCAAGACCAAAGUGGGGGACCUUCGGGCCUCAUGCCAUCAGAUGUGCCCAGAUGGGAUUAGCUAGUAGGUGGGGUAAUGGCUCACCUAGGCGACGAUCCCUAGCUGGUCUGAGAGGAUGACCAGCCACACUGGAACUGAGACACGGUCCAGACUCCUACGGGAGGCAGCAGUGGGGAAUAUUGCACAAUGGGCGCAAGCCUGAUGCAGCCAUGCCGCGUGUGUGAAGAAGGCCUUCGGGUUGUAAAGCACUUUCAGCGGGGAGGAAGGCGAUAAGGUUAAUAACCUUGUCGAUUGACGUUACCCGCAGAAGAAGCACCGGCUAACUCCGUGCCAGCAGCCGCGGUAAUACGGAGGGUGCAAGCGUUAAUCGGAAUUACUGGGCGUAAAGCGCACGCAGGCGGUCUGUCAAGUCGGAUGUGAAAUCCCCGGGCUCAACCUGGGAACUGCAUUCGAAACUGGCAGGCUAGAGUCUUGUAGAGGGGGGUGGAAUUCCAGGUGUAGCGGUGAAAUGCGUAGAGAUCUGGAGGAAUACCGGUGGCGAAGGCGGCCCCCUGGACAAAGACUGACGCUCAGGUGCGAAAGCGUGGGGAGCAAACAGGAUUAGAUACCCUGGUAGUCCACGCCGUAAACGAUGUCGAUUUGGAGGUUGUGCCCUUGAGGCGUGGCUUCCGGAGCUAACGCGUUAAAUCGACCGCCUGGGGGGUACGGCCGCAAGGUUAAAACUCAAAUGAAUUGACGGGGGCCCGCACAAGCGGUGGAGCAUGUGGUUUAAUUCGAUGCAACGCGAAGAACCUUACCUGGUCUUGACAUCCACAGAACUUUCCAGAGAUGGAUUGGUGCCUUCGGGAACUGUGAGACAGGUGCUGCAUGGCUGUCGUCAGCUCGUGUUGUGAAAUGUUGGGUUAAGUCCCGCAACGAGCGCAACCCUUAUCCUUUGUUGCCAGCGGUUAGGCCGGGAACUCAAAGGAGACUGCCAGUGAUAAACUGGAGGAAGGUGGGGAUGACGUCAAGUCAUCAUGGCCCUUACGACCAGGGCUACACACGUGCUACAAUGGCAUAUACAAAGAGAAGCGACCUCGCGAGAGCAAGCGGACCUCAUAAAGUAUGUCGUAGUCCGGAUUGGAGUCUGCAACUCGACUCCAUGAAGUCGGAAUCGCUAGUAAUCGUAGAUCAGAAUGCUACGGUGAAUACGUUCCCGGGCCU
RNAcentral lists this ribosomal RNA (1361 nucleotides) under uncultured bacterium. Its description in RNAcentral is "bacterial SSU rRNA". It matches the Rfam family "Bacterial small subunit ribosomal RNA", at positions 28 to 1381 of the family's 1533-position model. The record is from RNAcentral.